RNAcentral lists this long non-coding RNA (887 nucleotides) under Sorghum bicolor (sorghum). RNAcentral describes it as "long non-coding RNA (SBIC_LNC016320)". The record is from RNAcentral. Lineage: Eukaryota; Viridiplantae; Streptophyta; Magnoliopsida; Poales; Poaceae.
UUCCUUCAGUUCAGGCUAGCAUUCCACCGAUGUCAUUACCUAUAGAUGAAAGUUUAAUACGACACUUAGAAGUAAACUCAAAUUGAGAUAAUAUAUCAAUCUUUAAAGCCCAUACAGUAUUAUAAUACUUCCAGAAAGAAUGCUUAAUCGCCAAAAACUGAAAUAUUAGUAAAUUGGUAGUAAAAAGCAUUGUCAGUACCACUUAACUCUGAAGAAUAUCCCCCCAAGAGGAAUGCAAAUUUUAGAUAGGAGCUGAAAUCUGGUGACUGCAACAGCACAAAGAAAAAUCAAGAAUGUACUGUACAUGCAAACUACUGACAAGAAAUAGUAGUGCAUCAGUUGAAAAUAUAAAAAUGAGAUCUGUGUAAACAAAAAAAAUCUUAUCUUUAAUCUACUAGUACAGUUGAUAGUUCAUAUCCUUGAUCCUAGUUGAGAAAGUGUUGAUGUAGAUUGGUAGCAGCAGCAGAUAUGCAGCAAAACUCUUUAGCAAUAUUUGGCUACGAAUAACAAAUUGUCAAUCCAAAAGUCUCAACUAAUUUCACUGACAGAGCAAAUCAUAUAUGAUUAAUAUGAUACGAUCUAUAGUGAAAUACUUAGCUAGAAUAAAAUAAAAAUGAUAUCAAACAUGAAAUCAAACUUUAUGGUGGCAUAAAAAAUUCAAAUAAGCCCUAGUUUAUUGAAUUGGUAUGUCUUCUCGCAAAUUAGUCGAUGUCACUAUACAAUCUACAGCAAUACUGAUUGUCCAGGCGCAAGGUAACUGAUACAAUGCAACCUUAUCAAGAAAGAAAUCAUCCAGAAAUUUUAUCUAGACCAAUAUUUAGCACAUAUAAAAUUAAUAAAUGUGAGAUAAUAAACAGCUAGUAGUAGGUGCAAUAAAAAAAUCCUAC